AGUGAACGCUGGCGGUAGGCCCAACACAUGCAAGUCGAACGGCAGCACAGUAAGAGCUUGCUCUUACGGGUGGCGAGUGGCGGACGGGUGAGGAAUACAUCGGAAUCUACUUUUUCGUGGGGGAUAACGUAGGGAAACUUACGCUAAUACCGCAUACGACCUACGGGUGAAAGCAGGGGAUCUUCGGACCUUGCGCGAUUGAAUGAGCCGAUGUCGGAUUAGCUAGUUGGCGGGGUAAAGGCCCACCAAGGCGACGAUCCGUAGCUGGUCUGAGAGGAUGAUCAGCCACACUGGAACUGAGGCACGGUCCAGACUCCUACGGGAGGCAGCAGUGGGGAAUAUUGGACAAUGGGCGAAAGCCUGAUCCAGCCAUACCGCGUGGGUGAAGAAGGCCUUCGGGUUGUAAAGCCCUUUUGUUGGGAAAGAAAAGCAGCAGGUUAAUACCCCGCUGUUCUGACGGUACCCAAAGAAUAAGCACCGGCUAACUUCGUG
RNAcentral lists this ribosomal RNA (492 nucleotides) under uncultured bacterium. Its description in RNAcentral is "partial 16S ribosomal RNA". It matches the Rfam family "Bacterial small subunit ribosomal RNA", at positions 29 to 507 of the family's 1533-position model. The record is from RNAcentral.